Monodelphis domestica (gray short-tailed opossum) is the source of this 140-nucleotide small nuclear RNA. Its record names the gene U4. It matches the Rfam family "U4 spliceosomal RNA". From Rfam's summary of the family: U4 small nuclear RNA (U4 snRNA) is a component of the major U2-dependent spliceosome. The record is from Ensembl. Lineage: Eukaryota; Metazoa; Chordata; Mammalia; Didelphimorphia; Didelphidae.
AGUUUUAUGCAGUGGAAGUAUCCUAGCCAAUGAGAUUUAUACGAGGUAUGAUUAUUGCUAAUUGAAAACACAAUAUUCCCUUAUGCCUCUAAUAUUCUCUGAAAAAAAGGAAGGAUGUUGAGAACAAGGUCCAAAAAGAA